AGAGUUUGAUCAUGGCUCAGGAUGGACGCUAGCGGCAGGCCUAAUACAUGCAAGACGAACGGUAAGUUGAGUAGCAAUACUUAGCCAAGAGUGUCGUACGGGUGCGUAACACGUAUGCAACCUACCCUAUACAGGAGGAUAGCCUAGGGAAACCUGGAUUAACCCUUCAUAGUAUUAUUGGAUGGCAUCAUUUGAUAAUUAAAACUGAGGUGGUAUAGGAUGGGCAUGCGUCUGAUUAGUUAGUUGGCGGGGUAAUGGCCCACCAAGACGAUGAUCAGUAGGGGGUUCUGAGAGGAAGAUCCCCCACACUGGCACUGAGAUACGGGCCAGACUCCUACGGGAGGCAGCAGUAGGGAAUAUUGGUCAAUGGAUGCAAGUCUGAACCAGCCAUGCCGCGUGCAGGAAGAAGGCCUUCUGGGUUGUAAACUGCUUUUGCCAGGGGAUAAAAUUUCCAUGCGUGGAAAACUGAAGGUACCUGGUGAAUAAGCCACGGCUAACUACGUG
Molecule: ribosomal RNA, 504 nt
Filed under: uncultured bacterium
Lineage: Bacteria
Description: bacterial SSU rRNA
Rfam family: Bacterial small subunit ribosomal RNA
Source: RNAcentral